GAUGAACGCUAGCUACAGGCUUAACACAUGCAAGUCGAGGGGUAACGAGAGGAAAGCUUGCUUUCCUUGUCGACGACCGGCGCACGGGUGAGUAACGCGUAUCCAACCUGCCCCCAACUAGGGAAUAACCUUGCGAAAGUAAGACUAAUACCCUAUAAUUUCCUCAGAUGACAUCUGACGAGGAAUAAAGAUUUAUCGGUUGUGGAUGGGGAUGCGUCUGAUUAGAUUGUUGGCGGGGUAACGGCCCACCAAGGCAACGAGCGGUAGGGGUUCUGAGAGGAAGGUCCCCCACAUUGGAACUGAGACACGGUCCAAACUCCUACGGGAGGCAGCAGUGAGGAAUAUUGGUCAAUGGGCGGAAGCCUGAACCAGCCAAGUAGCGUGCAGGAUGACGGCCCUAUGGGUUGUAGACUGCUUUUAUACAGGAAUAAAGUUAGCCACGUGUGGUUAUUUGUAGGUACUGUAUGAAUAAGGACCGGCUAAUUCCGUGCCAGCAGCCGCAGUAA
This 506-nucleotide ribosomal RNA is filed under the name uncultured bacterium. RNAcentral describes it as "partial 16S ribosomal RNA". It matches the Rfam family "Bacterial small subunit ribosomal RNA", at positions 28 to 523 of the family's 1533-position model. The record is from RNAcentral.